GCGUGAGUGAUGAAGGCCUUAGGGUUGUAAAGCUCUUUUGGCGGGGACGAUGAUGACGGUACCCGCAGAAUAAGCCCCGGCUAACUUCGUGCCAGCAGCCGCGGUAAUACGAAGGGGGCGAGCGUUGUUCGGAAUUACUGGGCGUAAAGGGCGCGUAGGCGGCGACCCAAGUCAGAUGUGAAAGUCCUGGGCUUAACCUGGGGACUGCAUUUGAUACUGGGUUGCUUGAAUUCGGGAGAGGAUAGCGGAAUUCCCAGUGUAGAGGUGAAAUUCGU
RNAcentral lists this ribosomal RNA (275 nucleotides) under uncultured bacterium. RNAcentral describes it as "partial 16S ribosomal RNA". It matches the Rfam family "Bacterial small subunit ribosomal RNA", at positions 399 to 691 of the family's 1533-position model. The record is from RNAcentral.